RNAcentral lists this ribosomal RNA (180 nucleotides) under Grus japonensis (Red-crowned crane). Its description in RNAcentral is "partial 12S rRNA". The record is from RNAcentral. Lineage: Eukaryota; Metazoa; Chordata; Aves; Gruiformes; Gruidae.
CACCGCGGUCACACAAGAGACCCAAAUUAACUGUAAUACGGCGUAAAGAGUGGCACUAUGCUAUCGCAACAACUAAGAUCAAAGCACAACUGAGCUGUCAUAAGCCCAAGAUGUAUCUAAAGCCACCAUCAAGACGAUCUUAGCAAUAACGACAAAUUAAACUCCACGAAAGCUAGGGCA